This 626-nucleotide long non-coding RNA is filed under the name Sus scrofa (pig). RNAcentral describes it as "lncRNA (ENSSSCG00050029280.1)". The record is from RNAcentral. Lineage: Eukaryota; Metazoa; Chordata; Mammalia; Artiodactyla; Suidae.
AUGUUCUUGAUGCCUGUGCCUGAGCACAGCCCUCUGGAUUCUCAGGAGAGCAUCUUGCCCAGACCUGAGGACUGGCAGGAGGCAGGCCAGAAGGACAAUUUAGAUGACUCAGCAACUCAACUCAGCAGUCACUCCAGGACUGGGUCCCUCUCCCCGCAACUGGAAGGUAAAGGAGGGAAUCUAAAUCCCUGGCAGUUCAGGGACUUCCAGACGUGGCGCCGGGGAAAAGAAUCCCACUAGGAACCAUGAAAUUGUGGGUUUGAUCCCUGGCCUUGCUCAGUGGGUUAAAGAUCCAGCGUUGUGGUUUAGGUCACAGAGGUGACUUGGAUCCUGCGUGGCUGUGGCUGUGGCUGGCAGCUGUAGCUCCAAUUUGACCCCUACCUAGCCUGGGAAUCUCCAUAUGCCUUGGGUGUGGCCCUAAAAAGAAAAAAGAACCCUGGCAGUUCGGAGAGCUCCACCCCAACACACGCAAAAAACAGUAAUUAUGUGACUGAGCUCAGAGGAGCGGAACCGGAGGCUGCCCAAGGUCACCCAAACUGUCAGAGGCAAAGUUAGAACCAGAAACCAGCUUUUUUCCUGGGUUUCCAGCUCCUUCCACCACAGGUUGGGGUCAGGACCUCUUACAC